Molecule: long non-coding RNA, 816 nt
Filed under: Monodelphis domestica (gray short-tailed opossum)
Lineage: Eukaryota; Metazoa; Chordata; Mammalia; Didelphimorphia; Didelphidae
Description: lncRNA (ENSMODG00000045539.1)
Source: RNAcentral
UUAAAUAAUUGUGUUAAUGAAAGAGAAGUCUGCUUUAUUACUAUUUUCAUACCUUCAAUAAUAAAUUUUAGUAACAUAAUAUAUAUUCACAGUGCCUCCAAAGUCUUAGUGUGGUUUCAAACUAUUAAAACUGAAGACUACAUUAGACCAUUGGGGACAUCCUGCGGAGUACUUUUACAAAAUGGACCGACUCUAUGAGUGUGGGGAUCCCAAUUUGCAGAUAAGGAAACUGAGGCACGGAAGCAUUAAGAGACUUGCCCAAAUCACAAGGCUAGUAAAUAUGAGAGCCAAGACUAACUGUAUUGUCAGGAAGAUUGGAAGUCAUGGGAUUUUCUGCACAUACUCAGAAUGAUGUCCCACACCGCAUCCCUAGCUCCAUUAAGCCUAGUAAACUACCCCGUCUUCCUUUGGCCAACAUUACUCACCCUCACCAGGUUCGAGCUACCCAAUCCCCCUGAAAGCCCCAAUUGAUGCCGAAACUGAGGCUUCUGGACAAGUCCCUGUUUGGCUUGCAAAUGCAGGUUGCAGUUGAAAACAACACGUAAAGGAAAUGAAGCAAACCGCCCAGGGCCACAUGGAUCCUGGCUGCUUGUCGAUGCCGUUUCUGGCUUAACUACAGUCAGCAAUACAAUGACCCAGGACAAUUCUGAGGGACUUGUGACAAGGAAGACUCUCCACCUCCAGAGAAAGAACUGUGGGAGUCAGAAGCAGCCCCAGAAUCUGUCAGUGCAAUGCCUCCAGAGACAGGCUGGGGAGGCCCACUGCCUGACAGCUCUGCAUGGAAAGUUUCCAAGAAUUGAUUUGAAGAAAAUGUGA